Molecule: long non-coding RNA, 439 nt
Organism: Oxyura jamaicensis (ruddy duck)
Lineage: Eukaryota; Metazoa; Chordata; Aves; Anseriformes; Anatidae
Exons: 3
Source: RefSeq, a predicted model, not a curated record
GAAAAUAUAGCUGAAUUGUUUUAUUUUCCAAAGCACUCUCUUUCUCUCAUGCCUCAUCUCCACACUUGCUUAAUAUACUCCUCCUCCAUCGUUAUGCUGCGCGGCUUUUAUUAACACUACAUGGAUGUUGUUUAAAUAGGCUGCAUGACAGUGAUGCAUGAGGAGGCUCCUGUGAGUAAGUACUGGCCUCCUCUCUUUCACUCCUGACACAGCCAUUGCUUCUAGCUGUGUCACAGCUUACAGAAGAUCACACUGGAGCUGAGGAUUUUGUUCUAGUCACCACAGUUUCUCUCUGAUACUGCUACUCAAGGUAUCUUGACCACCCUUGGACAAGAAAUAAGUCUUCCUGUCUUUCACGUCAGUAAGAAAAAGAAUGGAUCAUGAAUAUGAGGGUGACACUUUUAUAGAGAAUGAGAUGAGAGAGCAGUUACCACUUCCA